Molecule: ribosomal RNA, 442 nt
Filed under: uncultured bacterium
Lineage: Bacteria
Description: partial 16S ribosomal RNA
Rfam family: Bacterial small subunit ribosomal RNA
Source: RNAcentral
GAUGAACGCUGGCGGCAUGCCUAACACAUGCAAGUCGAUCGGUAAGGCUCUUCGGAGUACACGAGAGGCGGACGGCUGAGUAACGCGUAGGAACACACCCUGCAGUUAGGGAUAAGACACCGAAAGGUGUUCUAAUACCGCAUACGGGCUUCGGAUUAAAGCAUUUAUGCGCUGAAGGAGUGGCCUGCGUCAUAUUAGAUAGUUGGUGAGGUAAUGGCUCACCAAGUCGAUGAUGUGUAGCUGGUCUGAGAGGAUGAUCAGCAAGACUGGAAUUGAGACACGGCCCAGACUCUUACGGGAGGAAGCAGUGAGGAAAAUUUCAAAUGAAGCGAAAGCUUGAUGGGCCAAGGCCGGGGGAAGGAUGAAGGCCUUGGGGUUGUAACUUGCUUUUAAAAGAGAAGAUUAGGCCGGAACCUUAGGAAGAAGGGCCGGUUACUACGUG